RNAcentral lists this long non-coding RNA (981 nucleotides) under Homo sapiens (human). Its description in RNAcentral is "novel transcript". Lineage: Eukaryota; Metazoa; Chordata; Mammalia; Primates; Hominidae. The record is from RNAcentral.
AGGUUAGAUCUUGGGACAGCCCACAUACCUAGACAAACUUAGGCUUUCCAGCUUGCACUGGACCAGGGUGGAAAGGAAGGGUAGAUGUCUACCCAAAUGGAAUAUUGAGUAUCAGAGACUUCAAAUGAUAACUUUUGUUUGUUUGGAGAAAAUCUUGAGGACGUGAUCACUGUACAAAAGCAUGGCAAAAUGAGGAAACCACUGACAGGUGAAGAAUUUGCACAAUGGAAAACCACCUUGACCAUCUCAUGACUUUAUACAGGAAUCGGAGACAUCCAAGGCCAUUCCAUUUCUAAAUCACACUUAUCCCUCAAUCAAGUCAGUGACUGGAUCAUCUCCUAAGGUUUCACCUGCUUUGCAUCAGUGAGUUGGACUAUGGAUCAGGUACUGUGCUCAGCAUCAGAAAAUGGGAUGACAAUGAACAGAGUAACAGGACUAUAUUUCUGAAAAAGGAUGAACUUACUGGAAACAGGAUUGCGUGCCUGAAAUAUAUCCAAAUGGAUAUAAAUGUCAACUCAGUUCUGGGCUGGAGAUAUAGAUUUGGAAUGCACCAACAAUGCAGAUGGUAAUCCUGGCAUGCGAGUAGGUGAGAUCAUCCAGGGAGAUGGCCUAUAAUGAGAGCCUACAACAUGUCAGGGCUCAAGCACCUCUUACUGCCUCCUCACUCUGGAACCAAAUGCCUUACUGUCUGCACUGCUCCCCAUUGCCUUCCCUCCCGCCUCACCAGUUGAUCCCUAUACCUCCUUCCCAAUGACCUCCAGGAGGCCUCUAACUUACAGUGACAGGAUCACAGAAUGUGAAUUUUGAACAGAUCUGAAAAGUUAUUAAGUUCAACUCCACAGAGGUUCCUAGGAGAAUGUUAACAGUCCAGACCUUUUUCACUACAUCAACCACGGAUGAUUGGCAUAUAAAAUCCUACUUAACCUUUACAUAACUGCAAUACCAGGAAACAAAUAUGUCAAUAAAAGGAAACAUCAUUCA